Molecule: ribosomal RNA, 114 nt
Filed under: uncultured bacterium
Lineage: Bacteria
Description: partial 16S ribosomal RNA
Rfam family: Bacterial small subunit ribosomal RNA
Source: RNAcentral
CGUUCCCGGGCCUUGUANACACCGCCCGUCAAGCCAUGGAAACUAGGGGUACCCGAAAACGCUGCGCUAACCGCAAGGGAGCAGGCGUCUAAGGUAAAACUAGCGACUGGGGCU